Molecule: long non-coding RNA, 477 nt
Organism: Triticum dicoccoides
Lineage: Eukaryota; Viridiplantae; Streptophyta; Magnoliopsida; Poales; Poaceae
Exons: 3
Source: RefSeq, a predicted model, not a curated record
UUGCAUGCCUAAUUGUGGCUUGAAAUUACUGCUAGUGUUCAUCAGAUUGCCUUCUGAUGCAACAUCUUGUUCAUUUUGCAGGAAUCCCUCAACGUCUUCUUCAUCGAGGAAUUUAUCAUCUCCGCCUUGUUCAAAUUCAUGUUGUAGAACAGGUUCGUGUCCCAUGGAUUAGUUUCUGCUCCUCCAUCUUCACUUGCUGCCACUUUGUGAUGCAAGACUCCCUCCAGUGUCUGCAAAGAAAUCCCUCCCCGAUCUGUUCAUGCGAGAGGUGGGGAGAGUAGUGCGAUGUUUUUUUGCUGACCUGUGAAUCCUGACGCUGAUUCCCCUCUGAUGAUCUUCCUUGAUGCUCGUCAGGUACAACAUCUUGAAUUCUCUUCUGAUUUGUGUUUGAGCUCCCUUCUUCUUCUACCCCAUCGCCCAUGUCCGCCUCCAUGUUCUCCCUUCUUCUCUUCUCCCCCUUUCUGAUUUUGCUUUUUG